This 319-nucleotide ribosomal RNA is filed under the name uncultured eukaryote. RNAcentral's name for it is "partial 18S ribosomal RNA". It matches the Rfam family "Eukaryotic small subunit ribosomal RNA", at positions 1470 to 1796 of the family's 1831-position model. The record is from RNAcentral.
CCCUUAGAUGUCCUGGGCCGCACGCGUGCUACACUGACGCCUACAGCGAGUACUUCCCAGCCCCGAGAGGUGGCUGGUAAUCAGCAAUAGGCGUCGUGAUGGGGAUAGAUCUUUGGAAUUAUGGAUCUUGAACGAGGAAUGCCUAGUAAGCGCAGGUCAUUAGCCUGCGCUGAUUAAGUCCCUGCCCUUUGUACACACCGCCCGUCGCUCCUACCGAUUUCGAGUGGUCCGGUGAAUCUUUCGGACUGCGCGCGGCCUCGUACCGUGUCGCGGAAAGUCAGGUAAACCUUAUCACUUAGAGGAAGGAGAAGUCGUAACA